RNAcentral lists this ribosomal RNA (243 nucleotides) under uncultured bacterium. RNAcentral's name for it is "partial 16S ribosomal RNA". It matches the Rfam family "Bacterial small subunit ribosomal RNA", at positions 15 to 252 of the family's 1533-position model. The record is from RNAcentral.
GAUCCUGGCUCAGAGUGAACGCUGGCGGCAGGCCUAACACAUGCAAGUCGAACGGCAGCACAGUAAGAGCUUGCUCUUAUGGGUGGCGAGUGGCGGACGGGUGAGGAAUACAUCGGAAUCUACUCUUUCGUGGGGGAUAACGUAGGGAAACUUACGCUAAUACCGCAUACGACCUACGGGUGAAAGCGGAGGACCUUCGGGCUUCGCGCGAUUGAAUGAGCCGAUGUCGGAUUAGCUAGUUGG